RNAcentral lists this ribosomal RNA (253 nucleotides) under uncultured bacterium. RNAcentral's name for it is "partial 16S ribosomal RNA". It matches the Rfam family "Bacterial small subunit ribosomal RNA", at positions 524 to 776 of the family's 1533-position model. The record is from RNAcentral.
UACGUAGGGUGCAAGCGUUAAUCGGAAUUACUGGGCGUAAAGCGUGCGCAGGCGGUUGUGCAAGACAGAUGUGAAAUCCCCGGGCUCAACCUGGGAAUGGCGCUUGAAACUACGGUGCUGGAGUGUGGCAGAGGGAGGUGGAAUUCCCGGUGUAGAGGUGAAAUUCGUAGAUAUCGGGAGGAACACCUGUGGCGAAGGCGGCCAUCUGGACGUCAACUGACGCUGAGACGCGAAAGCCAGGGGAGCGAACGGG